CGCGUAGGCGGUUUGUUAAGUCGGAUGUGAAAUCCCCGGGCUCAACCUGGGAAUUGCAUUCGAUACUGGCCGACUAGAGUACGAGAGAGGGAGGUAGAAUUCCACGUGUAGCGGUGAAAUGCGUAGAUAUGUGGAGGAAUACCGGUGGCGAAGGCGGCCUCCUGGCUCGAUACUGACGCUGAGGUGCGAAAGCGUGGGUAGCAAACA
This 207-nucleotide ribosomal RNA is filed under the name uncultured bacterium. RNAcentral's name for it is "partial 16S ribosomal RNA". It matches the Rfam family "Bacterial small subunit ribosomal RNA", at positions 568 to 774 of the family's 1533-position model. The record is from RNAcentral.